Molecule: transfer RNA, 74 nt
Filed under: Capra hircus (goat)
Lineage: Eukaryota; Metazoa; Chordata; Mammalia; Artiodactyla; Bovidae
Also listed under: 1 other name
Rfam family: tRNA
About the family: Transfer RNA (tRNA) molecules are approximately 80 nucleotides in length. Their secondary structure includes four short double-helical elements and three loops (D, anti-codon, and T loops).
Source: Rfam by way of RNAcentral
UUCCUGGUGGUCUAGUGGACUAAGACUCUGCACUCCCAAUGCAAGGGUCCCAGGUUCAAUCCCUGAUCAGGGAA